Molecule: long non-coding RNA, 473 nt
Filed under: Penaeus japonicus
Lineage: Eukaryota; Metazoa; Arthropoda; Malacostraca; Decapoda; Penaeidae
Description: uncharacterized LOC122250628
Source: RNAcentral
GUCCAUUUCACAUAAAGGAGCAACGAUAUAUGUUUAUAUUAUUCAAAUUAUUCAAACAUGACUAAUUUUCGUGUCCUCUAAGACCAAAGUGACAGAACCUUCCACACUCUGAACUGCGUGUUAUUCAAACAUGACUUGGAAAGUUUAUAAAUAUAUAUGAGUCUCCAUAUGGGUUAGUGCCAGCUUAUCGCAGUCGGCACUCACCUAUUGACAGGAAAGGAUGUAUUUCAACCGAUAUGUGGCGAUUCUGCUGGCUGUUCUCCUCAUGGUUACCUUGGUCUCCAUGGCUCCUAAGGCUGAGCCAAUAGGAUUCCAUCAUUACCAGUAUAGCAGAAAAACAAAAGAAGUGACGGGGGCGUAGUAGGUCGAAUCAACCACAAUCUCACCAGGAAUAAGAUGACUCGACAGUGACGUCAUGAUCUCAGAUUAGACUUCGGUUGGAUAAGCUGCGAAUAAAAGUCUGACGUCAUCAA